AGCUUUUGGAGCAAGGAGCAUACUUAUCUUGAACAAAAUUCAAAUAUCGAGGCUCGAGGUUAACAAAAUUCAGUCGUGGGAAAGAGAGAGAGAUGAGAGACUUCCAUGAUUUAAGUGGUUCAUUUGGUUUUGCUGUGUUGUUAUCAGGUUGGGUCAACGUUGUAACUUUGUUGACCAGGUCGCUGGUGCCGGGUUUGGGGCUGUCGGUGCUGGGUUGUAGUUGGUUUGCUGGAACGGGUGUUGUUUUUGGCUGUUGCUACUGUUGUACGUAUUGUUGUUGU
This 281-nucleotide long non-coding RNA is filed under the name Capsicum annuum. RNAcentral describes it as "long non-coding RNA (CANN_LNC019333)". The record is from RNAcentral. Lineage: Eukaryota; Viridiplantae; Streptophyta; Magnoliopsida; Solanales; Solanaceae.